UCGAACUCGGCGAAGCUCCUAUUCGGAGAA
Molecule: small RNA, 30 nt
Filed under: Bombyx mori (domestic silkworm)
Lineage: Eukaryota; Metazoa; Arthropoda; Insecta; Lepidoptera; Bombycidae
Description: ovarian small RNA-3401
Source: RNAcentral